ACGGGAGGCAGCAGUGGGGAAUAUUGGACAAUGGGGGAAACCCUGAUCCAGCGACGCCGCGUGAGUGAAGAAGUAUUUCGGUAUGUAAAGCUCUAUCAGCAGGGAAGAUAAUGACGGUACCUGACUAAGAAGCUCCGGCUAAAUACGUGCCAGCAGCCGCGGUAAUACGUAUGGAGCAAGCGUUAUCCGGAUUUACUGGGUGUAAAGGGAGCGUAGACGGCGAAACAAGUCUGAAGUGAAAUCCCGGGGCUCAACCCCGGAACUGCUUUGGAAACUGUUUUGCUAGAGUGCAGGAGAGGUAAGCGGAAUUCCUAGUGUAGGGGUGGAAUGCGUAGAUAUCGGGAAGAACACCAGUGGCGAAGGCGGCUUACUGGACCACAACUGACGCUGAGACACGAAAGCGUGGGGAGCAAACAGGAUUAGAUACCCUGGUA
Molecule: ribosomal RNA, 434 nt
Filed under: uncultured Clostridium sp.
Lineage: Bacteria; Bacillati; Bacillota; Clostridia; Eubacteriales; Clostridiaceae
Description: partial 16S ribosomal RNA
Rfam family: Bacterial small subunit ribosomal RNA
Source: RNAcentral